GCAGCAGCCGCGGGAACACGGAGGAUCCAAGCGUUAUCCGGAAUCAUUGGGUUUAAAGGGUCCGUAGGCGGUCUUGUAAGUCAGUGGUGAAAGCCCAUCGCUCAACGGUGGAACGGCCAUUGAUACUGCAGGACUUGAAUUAUUGGGAAGUAACUAGAAUAUGUAGUGUAGCGGUGAAAUGCUUAGAGAUUACAUGGAAUACCAAUUGCGAAGGCAGGUUACUACCAAUUGAUUGACGCUGAUGGACGAAAGCGUGGGUAGCGAACAGGAUUAGAUACCCCAGUAGUCCCUGUCUCUUAUAC
RNAcentral lists this ribosomal RNA (302 nucleotides) under uncultured bacterium. RNAcentral describes it as "partial 16S ribosomal RNA". It matches the Rfam family "Bacterial small subunit ribosomal RNA", at positions 508 to 807 of the family's 1533-position model. The record is from RNAcentral.